UACGGAGGGUGCAAGCGUUGUCCGGAUUUAUUGGGCGUAAAGCGCGCGCAGGCGGCCGUGCAAGUCGGAUGUGAAAACACGAGGCUCAACCUCGUGCCUGCAUUCGAUACUGCUCGGCUCGAGGCAGGUAGGGAGAUCGGAAUUCCCGGUGUAGCGGUGAAAUGCGCAGAUAUCGGGAGGAACACCGGUGGCGAAGGCGGAUCUCUGGGCCUGUCCUGACGCUCAGGCGCGAAAGCUAGGGGAGCGAACAGGAUUAGAAACCCC
This 264-nucleotide ribosomal RNA is filed under the name uncultured bacterium. RNAcentral's name for it is "partial 16S ribosomal RNA". It matches the Rfam family "Bacterial small subunit ribosomal RNA", at positions 524 to 788 of the family's 1533-position model. The record is from RNAcentral.